RNAcentral lists this ribosomal RNA (546 nucleotides) under uncultured bacterium. Its description in RNAcentral is "bacterial SSU rRNA". It matches the Rfam family "Bacterial small subunit ribosomal RNA", at positions 355 to 895 of the family's 1533-position model. The record is from RNAcentral.
UGGGGAAUAUUGCGCAAUGGGGGGAACCCUGACGCAGCCAUGCCGCGUGAAUGAAGAAGGCCUUCGGGUUGUAAAGUUCUUUCGGUAUUGAGGAAGGUUGAUGUGUUAAUAGCACAUCAAAUUGACGUUAAAUACAGAAGAAGCACCGGCUAACUCCGUGCCAGCAGCCGCGGUAAUACGGAGGGUGCGAGCGUUAAUCGGAAUAACUGGGCGUAAAGGGCACGCAGGCGGUUAUUUAAGUGAGGUGUGAAAGCCCCGGGCUUAACCUGGGAAUUGCAUUUCAGACUGGGUAACUAGAGUACUUUAGGGAGGGGUAGAAUUCCACGUGUAGCGGUGAAAUGCGUAGAGAUGUGGAGGAAUACCGAAGGCGAAGGCAGCCCCUUGGGAAUGUACUGACGCUCAUGUGCGAAAGCGUGGGGAGCAAACAGGAUUAGAUACCCUGGUAGUCCACGCUGUAAACGCUGUCGAUUUGGGGGUUGGGGUUUAACUCUGGCGCCCGUAGCUAACGUGAUAAAUCGACCGCCUGGGGAGUACGGCCGCAAGGUU